Molecule: ribosomal RNA, 433 nt
Filed under: uncultured bacterium
Lineage: Bacteria
Description: partial 16S ribosomal RNA
Rfam family: Bacterial small subunit ribosomal RNA
Source: RNAcentral
AACGAACGCUGGCGGCAGGCCUAACACAUGCAAGUCGAGCGCACCCUUCGGGGUGAGCGGCGGACGGGUGAGUAACGCGUGGGAACGUGCCCUUCUCUGCGGAAUAGCCUCGGGAAACUGAGAGUAAUACCGCAUACGCCCUUUGGGGGAAAGAUUUAUCGGAGAAGGAUCGGCCCGCGUUGGAUUAGGUAGUUGGUGGGGUAAUGGCCCACCAAGCCGACGAUCCAUAGCUGGUUUGAGAGGAUGAUCAGCCACACUGGGACUGAGACACGGCCCAGACUCCUACGGGAGGCAGCAGUGGGGAAUCUUAGACAAUGGUGGCAACCCUGAUCGAGCCAUGCCGCGUGAGUGAUGAAGGCCUUAGGGUUGUAAAGCUCUUUCAGCUGGGAAGAUAAUGACGGUACCAGCAGAAGAAGCCCCGGCUAACUCCGUG